Molecule: ribosomal RNA, 293 nt
Filed under: uncultured bacterium
Lineage: Bacteria
Description: partial 16S ribosomal RNA
Rfam family: Bacterial small subunit ribosomal RNA
Source: RNAcentral
GUGCCAGCAGCCGCGGUAAGACGAACCGUCCAAACGUUAUUCGGAAUCACUGGGCUUAAAGGGCGCGUAGGCGGCCGAGCGGGUCGCGGGUGAAAUCCUCCAGCUUAACUGGAGAACUGCCCUCGAUACCACUGCGGCUCGAGGAAGGAAGGGGCAAUCGGAACUGUCGGUGGAGCGGUGAAAUGCGUUGAUAUCGACAGGAACGCCGGUGGCGAAAGCGGAUUGCUGGUCCUUUUCUGACGCUGAGGCGCGAAAGCCAGGGGAGCAAACGGGAUUAGAAACCCCCGUAGUCC